Sapajus apella (tufted capuchin) is the source of this 2180-nucleotide long non-coding RNA. RefSeq lists it as uncharacterized. The record is from RefSeq and is a predicted model, not a curated record. The transcript has 3 exons. NCBI's taxonomy places the organism in Eukaryota, Metazoa, Chordata, Mammalia, Primates, Cebidae.
AUAUAUAUGUUACUAUAUAAAUAUAUUGUUAGUUGGAUAUUUUUUUCAUUGUUGAUUUGGUUCAGCCAUCAUCACCUUAGUUUUUUGCCUCACUGAAAGUAUAGAUUGUGCCUCAAAUGGGGAAGUAAGAGUCACAAAAUGUUUGCUGUUAUUUUUAUCAAAUGGUAGCCAAUGGCUAAAGGCAAAAUGGUGAUUCUGUUAUUAAGUUUCAUUGUCCACCACAGAUUGAUGGUGUGUCCUUUGACAACUUUCUCUGUGUCUCUGCUUUAAUUUAAACUUGUAAAAAUGAAUACAAUGAACUUGGUUUAAGAAUAGCUGAAAUAAAUUUAGACUGUAAGUUUUCUCUACUAGGUGUAUGUAUUUGUGAGUCUAAAAUCAGCAACACAAUAAUUAAUUAUUACUGCUAUUUACAUUAUAUAGCUAUGAAAGGUAUGAUUGUAUCUUUUAGAUGAAAACAUCUUUAUCUUACUAUGUAUGUGUCUAAUAUUUGUAAAAUACUUAGUUUAAAAUAUAUUCUUUAAUUUCUCCAUUAACUUUUAUUUUACAAAAUGUAAUGUUUGUUGAAAAUUAGCAGCAACUUUAAAAGUACACCUUUGAAAAAGAAAGAAAUUACUAGUUUAGUUUUAUUAACUUUCUUACAUAUUUUUACCUUUUAAAAUGAUAACACUGAGCUUUCAGUACAUUUAGCAAGAUAUAUGAUCAGUAUUUCUCAAAAAAUUAAGUGAUAUUUCUAAAUUAGAUGUUAAUUUUUUAUUUGCUUAUUUUGUUUGCACAUUUUGAAGUUAUAUGUGAGGUAAUUUCCAUUGUUUUAGUUUUAAUUCAAACAAUACUGAGCAUACUUACAAUAUAUAAGGAAAAUCUUUGGUCUUUUUUUGCAGAGUUAAUUGGAAAAGGUACAAUUAAUAUACAAUGUAUCGUUCAUCAUUUUAAUAUUCUAAAUUUAGCAGCCGAUCGUCUACCUAAUGUUUAAUAAUAUAAGUUGCUCUAAUUUCCUUUUAUCUGCUGUGGUAUAAAUUUGACUGUUAAUCCAAUGAUAAAACGAUUUCUAACAGUUUCAAAUAUUAUUACUAUUGCUAUUUACUAUUCUCAGUGACAAUCUGAGCUCCUCCUCAGAUGCUUAGAGGAAUCUUUACACAGUGUUAUAAACAGAUAAUUCUAAUGAUUAAAAUUUAAAAUUGUAGCAAUGACAAGUCCACUAUAAACAUAAUAAAUAAAUCAUUACCUUCUCUAUUAAUGAACAGAAACUUUAGUACAUUAAAACUAAUGUCUUAAAAGAUUUUAGAAGUAUAGCAAGCUGGUACUCACACCUAAUAAAAAGGUCUUAGUGAAUAUCAUCUUACAACUUAGAACGUUUGCACUGUUCUUUACAAAGGUUGUUUCGAUUCCAUGCAAGAUAAUUAAUCCAGAAUUAUUUUGACCACAAAUUUUUCUUUCUAAUUAACUGGCCAAACACAAUCUACAAAAAAUAGGUAGUACUUCAUUUAGUAUUUACUAUAUAAAUAUAGUAAAAACAAACAGACAGUUGGGAUAAUGGUUUUAUCUAUCACCAUAUUCUAUAAUUGUACCUAGCAUUAAGUAAGCACCUAAUAGAUUUACAAAUAUGUACUUAUAGAUGUCCACAGACCAAGGUGAAUUCAGUGAAUAUCAUAAACUGGUUGUGUGCUCCAUCAUAACGCCAUUUAUCUUGACAAUCUGCAAAGAUGUCUCAAAUGUCAAUAAGGAUAUCAGAGCAAUGUUACCAACACCUCCCUUUGAAGUGUGGCCUAUUUGGUUGCUUGCUGGCAAGAAAAAGUGUGGACAAAAGAAAAGAGAAAAUAGAUUGAUGUUUUGAGUCUUGGAGGGUAACAGCUGACAAUUAUCCCCUUCUCCAGAGAAUUGUCUUAACCUAACAGGAAUCACCACACGUGUCAGUCUCUAUCCUACCUCAGGGGAAUUAAGGCAAUGAAUGAUUGCCUUAAGGUGGGACUCUUUGUUGCAAUUUUGUCCAUAAAGUUAUCCUGUGUGAUAAUACUUGGUGUAAUCUCAGGCAGGGACUGCAUUACUUAGCUUUUCCCGACUCUUCCUCUUCUACUUCCCUCAUUCCCUUUCUCUCAAGGGCACAUUCCUGAUGAAACACUGGAAUCAAAAUCCCCAUUUCAUGCUCUACUUCUAGAGGACUAGACCUAAGACACAAUUGACCU